Molecule: long non-coding RNA, 5532 nt
Organism: Camelus dromedarius (Arabian camel)
Lineage: Eukaryota; Metazoa; Chordata; Mammalia; Artiodactyla; Camelidae
Exons: 4
Source: RefSeq, a predicted model, not a curated record
GCCGGCCCUUUACCCCCCUCGCUCACAACAGUUUAAAUUUCAAACUAAUUCCCUGUUUUUGCUCUUCCUCUUCACAAGGCCGGCUGGAGACAACCCAGCCUGCUGGCCUCAAAUCUCCCUCUCUAUUGCUCUAGUCACUGGAUUUCCAAACACCUGGGCCUCCCAGUGCCUAUCAGCUUUAGGCUAGACCAUCCAAGACGGCUUCCCCAGUUUCAAGCCCAAACCAAGUUUCUGCUCUCCUCCAGCCUCCAGAGCUGCAGCCGCCCAGCCUCCACCCUCUGGAGUCGAGACGUCCCAGUACCUUUCUGGCGCCGCGUUCUGCGAACUCGCGAGCGAGCUGGCGCCCGAUGCCUCUCCCGCCGCCGGUGAUGAGGACGGUCUCCCGCGACAGGUCCCGCAGCUUGGCGGGCAGCACCAGUCCGACGGCUGCUUUCACCACCAGAUAGAUCAUCUGCAGAGGGAACACCACCAACGCGCCCAGCCGUUUCCACACCAUCCUCCGCGCCGCGGAGCUGGGCAGCGGGGGGUGAAACUCCCCGGACCGAACAAAAUAGGGCUUAAAAAAGAAAACACUCCCAAACAAUAAUAAAUAAACCGAACAAGGGGGAGAGAGGCGUCCCACCUGGCCACUCUUGAAAUCACCUCUUCCCAAAUGCAAAGCAAGCACAGGGUGAGAAAAAGGGGGGGAAAAAUGAUAAAUCCUCGGAACGAGAAAAAGCGUCUCAGAAGCUUGGGACAGUAAGAGGGGUGGAGGGGAAGCCGGAGGUGGAAAGUUCUAACAAGAACUUUCUUGCCCCAGCAGCCGUUUCGGCUGGGGAAUUCUCAGGUAAUGUUUACAGGCUGACAGAGGAGUUUAGGCAGGGGAAGAAAAAAAAAUGCACCAACCACACGCGCGCACCCUGCUACAGCCCCGCGGUUUCAAAGUGCAAGAUUAAAAAAAAAAAAAAAGCCGUUUCCAAAUUGUAGCGCCCCCCCCAACCCCUUCUCCGGAAAAAAAAAAAAAAAGUGGGGGGGGGGAGGAGUGCUUGGAGCUCCCAAUUUCAGCCCGCGAAAGUCUCCCGACUCAUUGCUAUUCUUGGGCUCAGGAAAUUGCUUAAACGCGAUCUGAUUGCCAGCAACGUGCAGGAGAAGUGGGGGGUCCGGGUGUCAGUUUCUUUACGUGCAUGGCUCGCCCUCGCGCGCGCUCGCUCUCUCCGGCUCCCUCCCUCCCUCUCUCCUCCAACGGAGGCUGGGAGUUGCCGCGCGAUCCGGCUCCCUCUCUCUCCCUUGUUAGCAUUUAUUGCCUUCUUUUUGUCCUUUCCAACUUGGAGAGGGCCCUGGUGCGGAGCGCGCGUGGAUCGGACGCCCUCGUCUGCGCCGCCUUAUCCAUUUGCUCCCGGGGCAGCCGCGGAGCGGAGCGAGAGGGCGGCUCUUUUUCUCCCCCAUUUUUUUUUUUAAUACCCCAUUAAGUCUGAUUGACAGUUAAAGUUGUUCCGAAGCUUCACUACCGUUCCUCUGAGUGGCUGCCGCGGGCUCCCCUCCCCCUGCGCAGUCGCAGGGCGCGCGCGCGGGCGCGCACACGGGCUCGCUCCGACUCGCGCUCUCCCGGGGCCGGCUCCCCUGUCUGCAAGCUGGGGCUUGCCGGCGGCGUCCCUGAGGGCUCGCCGCUGCAACUCGCACACGCUGGAACCGACUCCUGCGAACCGUCUCCGUCCUCGAGAUGUUUCUCCUUGCCCGGGACGCUGUCUCCCCGAACAGGGGCUCCUGCGGGCCAGGUGAUCGCCCCUGCGUGCCGGGCAGGCCCGGGGGAGCUCGCGCCUGCCUUGAUCCAUCCAGGUCGCCCAGGGUUUAUUUCGGGUCAUUUGGUCACCCCCUGCCUCCAGGAGAAGAGAGAGACAAAGAGAAGAGGACACCCACGUGAAGGCAGAAGCAGUGACGGGAGUGAGGUGGCCACAAGCCAAGGAGGACCAGGAGCCGCCAGAAGCUGGCGGAGGUUGGAGUGCGGCCCUGCCCACACCUUGACUUUGGGACUUCUGGCUGCUAGAAUCUGGCUGCUAGAGAGUAAAUUUCUGUAAUUUUAAGCCAUGUGGGUGGUCAUUUUUUACAGCAGCCCUUGGAAACGAAGACACCUGCCUCCUGCAUUUACCAGCUGCCUUACCUGGAACGACACAUUUCUUAUGCUCCUGAGCCUCGGCUUCCACAUAUGUGAGAUGGGGACACCCCAAGUGCCUAAGUCACCGGGUGUGUGAGGACUUGAUGUACGAUGAGGACAAAGCUCUUAGGGAAAGUCCUGGUACCCUCCCUAAGUGCCCCUCACUUGUAGCAAGAUUUCAGGUUAUACACCAAACAAUUCUGGCCCUGACGAGUCCUGUCUCUCUGCAGGGGCACAAAGGAACUUUAGAAGUCCCCAUGCCAGCCUCCACGCGUGGUUUGUCACACCUAGCACAGGACCCCGGGCUCAUCACGGGCCAUCAAGGUUGUGUUGUACAAAAUGGUGCUGAUGACCCCUUGUGAUGUCAUUUUUCACCCCCCUAAAAGGGAUAACAGGAUCUCUAAGUGGUCAGAGCAUGGAAAUUGGUGGUAAUGACCCCCCACGAUGUCAUCUUUAACACCCCAUUAAAGGGAAGGCAGGAUCUCACAGUGGUCAGACCACAGACUCUGAGUCAGACUCCCUGCGUUUAGAUUCCUGCUCUGUGACUCACUUGCUGUGUGACCUUGGGCAAAUUUCUUAACCUCUCUGUGCCUCUGGUUCCAAAUGAAAAAUGGGCAUGAUAUGCAGUGUGCCACUACCCCAUCAUGUCUGUAAAUGCUGGUGUGAGAAGAUGCCAUGUGGAGGUUACAUAAACGUCAGACCCAAUAGAGAGGACAUUCCUUUGAAUUUGAAACCUAACCAAGUUUCCACUUGAGGCCAAACUGCCUCUUCACGGCUUGCCCCCGCCCUGCCUCCAAAGGGAAGCUCACCCCCCAGGAGAGCUCUCAGGCUGCACGUUGCUCAGGAUUUUCCCGGCCAGCUCUUGUGAAGCCUGGGAGCAGUAAUGAGCGCCUUGGCACUUGCCGCCCACAUUUCUGGAAGACGCACCCAGCUUCGCGGUGUGAGCCCUCCCAGGCCAGAAUGGAAAUGCGGCAUCAGCAUGGGCUUAAAGAUCAAGUCGAAAGGUCUGUUUUCUCUAGGGCUCCACCCCCUGAAUUCUUGGGAUUCUUGGUUAACGGGAGUGCCCCCAGGGGGCCUGCUUCCAGGGCUGAGCCAGCAGAGCUGACUUACCCCACACAGGGCUAGGGCUGCAGCCCAGAGUGGGAUGGGGUGCGGAGGGGGCACCGAGGACAAGGAUUCCCGCUGUCCCACGAGGCCAGGGCAUCCUGCUGGGGCUUAGGCCCCACCUCACCAUCCCCAGCAAGCUGGCGUCCUAGAAUUUUGUCUUGUGCAGAGGGCAGGGCUGGAGCUAGCACACAGCACACCCCAGGAAAUGUAACACCACUCCUGAGGGACCAGCCUGGGGAGCAAGGGACGCUGAGCCCUUCAAAAGGGGAGCUGGUGUCUGGGCUGCCUGCCUGCCAUGUGAUCUGGGCAAGUUUCAGCCUCCCUGAACUCUAGUUUUCCCAGGGGUAAAAUGGGGUUCACAGCAUCACCUCCCAGCACUGGGUGGAAUCCUGGCCACCACCUAGUGUUACUGAAGAAUAGGUUCUAGUCUGGCAUGCGAAAGGAUUCAAGUGCGAGGCAUAGUAAAGUGAAAGCAAGUUGUUUUAGAGAGAGAUACACUCCAUAGACAGAGUGUGGACCAUCUCAGAAGGAGAGGGCGAGGGGGAGAGGGAGACCACAAGGUGCGGGGUGCUAGUUUUCAUGGGCUCGGUAAUUUCAUGUGCUAAUGAGUAGGAGAACUAAUCCACCUAUUUUGGGAAAGGGGCGAGGAUCUCCUGGAAGUGGGUCCUGCCUACUUUUUGACCUUUUAUGGUCAGCCUAGGAGCUGCCAUGGUGCCUGUGGGUGGGCCAUGCGGUGCAAGGUUUACUGGAAGACGAAUGUUGCACCAUCUUGCUUCUAACCAGUUUGUCCUGUUCUCAACUGCUGUGUCGUUCCUUCAGUGGUUGUGCCCUGACCCCUUCCCCCUUGUCUCUCUAGUGGUGUUUGGUGUCCUGAGGAGACAGACUCUGGGGGUGUCUGGGGGAGACGGGGUAAGGUUGGAGUCCAGCCAGGAUGCCCUGUCUUCGCAGCACAGUGGGAACCUGGGCUGGCUGUGUACGGGAAGCAAUGAGUUGCCACCCAGAACGCCCUCUAUUUUUUUUCCCCUCUGGAGUCCGUGUUUGGAAACUUGAUUCAAAAGCCUGCUGUGAUCAGCGAUGCUCCGUGUGGCUCCGGAUUUCCAAUUCCAGAAAGGCAUCUAUCCAUCAGUUCAGGUGUGGCGAGCAGCGUCUCCGUGCAGGCACUGGCCUCAGGAGGCAGGGAAGUCCUGGAGGGUGAGCCUCCCUCUGUCCACCUGUUUGUCCCUCGGUCCACCUUUCUGUUGGUCUGUCUAUCCUUCAGGGAGUAGAUGGGCUGAGCCCUUCUACUUCCUGGCUCUGUAAAUGUGGGCAAAUUAAUUAGGUGAUUGUGGGCCUCGAUGUGCUUGUCUGUAAAGUGGGGAUGACACCAGUACCUACUUCUUGGGUGGUUUCUGGCAUUAAACAAAUCCACACAGGCGAGGGACUUAAUAGCUGUGCUGGCUCAUGGUAGGCACCAAACUGGUGUUGGACCUUAUUUAUUAAUAUUAUUGUUAUUGUUGCUAUUGAAACUUGCACAAAAUUAACAUCUGGCUUCACACACUUGGCAAAAGCUUCUUCAACUUUGGCAGUGAUCUUGAAUGCAAUCUUGCAUGAAUCUAUUUCACAGCUGUGCAUUCACUUCAGUUGGCUCUUGGUAGGACACGGGCUUGGCAGGUCUCAGUAAAUGGCAAACAUUUCAUAGUUGCAUUACUGCCUUGAGCAGCUAGAGUUCCAGCCACAAGCAACCCCACUGAAUAACUCAACAGCCUGUGCUUCUUAAUUUCCGCUGCGUUUGGAAAUUUCAGGAUGACACUGCAUACUCCCCCUGCUGUCCUCACAGCUCCCUGAGGAGCUCCCUCAACCCUCAAGUUAAAUCCACGCCUCAGUGAAGCCACACGGGUGGAGGUCAUGGGCAGAGAAUGGUCUGGGAGUUAAAACCCCAAAGCUUUGCGCUCUCCUUGUCCUGUUUGUCCCUUAGACACCCUAUAUUGGGAAGAAGGAUAGUAUUGGUUAAGAUUGUGGACAGAUUAAGCUGCUUAAAUCAAAGCCCUGCUCUAAUGGCUGUUAGUCUAAGACUGCCCUUCUUUGAGGCUCAGUUUCCUUAUCUGUCAAAUGAGGAUAAUGAUGCGCUGUCACCUAGAAGCUCUACUGAAGAGUAAACAAGAUAAAGGGGGAGGGAAAUAGCUUGGUGGUAGAGCACAUGCUUAGCAAGCAUGAGGUCCUGGGUUCAGUCCCCAGUACCUCCAUUAAUAAAAAAAGAUAAACCUAACUACCCCCACCAAAAGCUUAAAAAAGUAAAUAAAUAAAAUUUUAAAAAA